CCGAGUUUAUACAACUCCUCAACUCCUGUGAACAUACCUAUAACGUUGCCUCGGCGGAAUCAGCCCGCGCCCCUGUAACAAAGGGACGCCCCGCCAGAGGACCCCUAAACUCUGUUUUUAUAAUGUACUUCUGAGUAAAACAAGCAAAUAAAUCA
Molecule: unclassified non-coding RNA, 155 nt
Filed under: soil metagenome
Description: partial internal transcribed spacer 1
Source: RNAcentral